RNAcentral lists this transfer RNA (63 nucleotides) under Fukomys damarensis (Damara mole-rat). It matches the Rfam family "tRNA", at positions 1 to 62 of the family's 71-position model. From Rfam's summary of the family: Transfer RNA (tRNA) molecules are approximately 80 nucleotides in length. Their secondary structure includes four short double-helical elements and three loops (D, anti-codon, and T loops). The record is from Rfam by way of RNAcentral. Lineage: Eukaryota; Metazoa; Chordata; Mammalia; Rodentia; Bathyergidae.
GGGGAUGUAGCUCAGCGGCACAGCACCUGCCUGGAAAGCAGGAGAGCAUGAGCUAAAUUCCCA